Molecule: ribosomal RNA, 253 nt
Filed under: uncultured bacterium
Lineage: Bacteria
Description: partial 16S ribosomal RNA
Rfam family: Bacterial small subunit ribosomal RNA
Source: RNAcentral
UACGUAGGGGGCAAGCGUUGUCCGGAUUUAUUGGGCGUAAAGAGCGUGUAGGCGGCCAGACAGGUCCGUUGUGAAAACUCGAGGCUCAACCUCGAGACGCCGAUGGAAACCGUUUGGCUAGAGUCCGGAAGAGGAGAGUGGAAUUCCUGGUGUAGCGGUGAAAUGCGCAGAUAUCAGGAAGAACACCCGUGGCGAAGGCGGCUCUCUAGGACGGUACUGACGCUGAGAAGCGAAAGCGUGGGGAGCGAACAGG